Molecule: ribosomal RNA, 504 nt
Filed under: uncultured bacterium
Lineage: Bacteria
Description: bacterial SSU rRNA
Rfam family: Bacterial small subunit ribosomal RNA
Source: RNAcentral
GAGUUUGAUCCUGGCUCAGGACGAACGCUGGCGGCGCGCCUAACACAUGCAAGUCGAACGAGAGAGAGGGAGCUUGCUUCCUUAAUCGAGUGGCGAACGGGUGAGUAACGCGUGAGGAACCUGCCUCAAAGAGGGGGACAACAGUUGGAAACGACUGCUAAUACCGCAUAAGCCCACGACCCGGCAUCGGGAAGAGGGAAAAGGAGCAAUCCGCUUUGAGAUGGCCUCGCGUCCGAUUAGCUAGUUGGUGAGGUAACGGCCCACCAAGGCGACGAUCGGUAGCCGGACUGAGAGGUUGAACGGCCACAUUGGGACUGAGACACGGCCCAGACCCCUACGGGAGGCAGCAGUGGGGAAUAUUGCACAAUGGGGGAAACCCUGAUGCAGCGACGCCGCGUGGAGGAAGAAGGUCUUCGGAUUGUAAACUCCUGUUGUUGAGGAAGAUAAUGACGGUACUCAACAAGGAAGUGACGGCUAACUACGUGCCAGCCGCCGCGGUAAUAC